Molecule: non-coding RNA, 105 nt
Organism: Gossypium hirsutum (cotton)
Lineage: Eukaryota; Viridiplantae; Streptophyta; Magnoliopsida; Malvales; Malvaceae
Source: Rfam
AGUCUGUGAUGAGGACACAUUUGUAGCAUUGAUUUGAAUCUCUCUCAUGCUUCUUACAAUGUUUCACCUUCGAAUUGUUUGAAAUUUGCCAUAUCGUGUCGGAGU